GGCAUUAUUCUGCAGGAUCUAGUUUGGGCACGGAUACCUUUAAGACUCUGUUUGCGAGCAAAAUUAUGGAUAGAAAAGUAAGCAUUUCUUAUGACAAAUUAGCCAAUUCUUCUCUACUCCAAAAUAUGUAGACAGUAUUUAAAACUGAUGGCAGAAACUUGAUCAUUUAAUAGUUAAAAGCUGCAUCAAAUCACUUCCAACAUACAUGUUGAAGUAUCUCAUUCCUAGCAUUGAUUUCUAUGGAACUAUUUGUAGGCUGUUCUUUUAGUCUAUUGAAGCACUGAAUGUUUUCUAUGAUUAUCUUUGCAAUUGACAAACUGGUUUUUAUGUUUUUAUUUGACAAAGAUUUUGUGGAUAUGGUAAGUCCCUUUCUAUAUAUAGUCAUUGCAAUGUACAACUAUAAAUUCAAUCACAUUGCAAAUGAGCCUCAUUUAAUUCCUGAACAUUACCAUAACUCCAUAAAACAUUCAUUUAGUUUGGAGCUACAAGUCUCAUAUAUUGCUUUGUUCAUCCUUUGUUUUCUGCUAUUCUAUUGCUUCUAAUUUAAGGACGAUGAAAUUUUCAUGGUUUAACCUUUUGUUAAAGCCAGUACUGCUUAUAUUUCAUGAAUUAUCCAGUAUCUACUCAUGAAAAUUUUGAAUUCUCUUUGGAUGUGAAGGGAGAUGUUGAUAGGGCUUGCGUCAGUGUAUUGUUAUCCUUUCCAACAUUGAAGAGCUAUAAUAUAAAAGACAGCUUUGGUUCACCAAUGCAGUGUUGAUCAACUCUUCGAUCGGGGGCUUAUCUGAGGUUUGUCUGAGCUGAUUUUUGGAUAAUGGCUAGUAGGCUUGAGGAUUUCAAUUUGGAUUUUCCAUACGAUUGGG
This 860-nucleotide long non-coding RNA is filed under the name Gossypium barbadense (sea-island cotton). RNAcentral's name for it is "long non-coding RNA (GBAR_LNC015170)". Lineage: Eukaryota; Viridiplantae; Streptophyta; Magnoliopsida; Malvales; Malvaceae. The record is from RNAcentral.